GCACGCAGUAGCAUGGGGAGGAGUGGGAGAACAAAUGGAAAAAACAACAAAACAACAGUCGGAUGGGCCGAUGGCGCACGUGCCACCAGUGAGGGCUCCGCGUGACCUAGGUUCGCCACUGUUGUCCUAUGUUUUACUCAGGUUGGCACCCCUGGUACUAGACCAGUCUUUUAUCACUGUACUCAUUUACUUAAGCAUGAUUUCCAUGUUUACUCUUAGCUAUACCCUGCUUUUCUGUAAACUGCUUAAGGAGCUUUAAAGCGCAUUUAAAACUAUAAAAUAAAAACAAUGAAACAAAAUUUUAACAUUAGCAAAAUUUCAACAGCUGUUGAAAAUAAAUUCCUUAAGCAGCUGCUCUUUUAAGCAGCAGAAUUUUUUUUGAAGAAAAGUCUGGUUCUGGUUGCAUGCUGAAAAAUCAGUGAAGGAUCUCUUUGGGGGAGGUAUUUAACAAUCUAAGUGCAAUAGAUGAACAGUCCUGUCAUAAAUCCCCACCCCCUGUACUGAGACAGGACAGUUCUUAGGCCCUUGCCUGUUAAAGGAAGCAAGUUGGUAUGUGAUACUUAAAUAUUCUUAAAAAAUUAUUUGAAUUAUUGUUCCCCAGUUUUAUUCUACAGGGUAGAAUGGGUAAAUGUUGUUUGUUUUGUUUUAACCGCCCAUUAUUGACUUCUUUUUGUAUUUGCUGGUAGGAAAAAGUCAUCACCCAAAGCCCGUGCAAAAUCUAUCAGCUUGGUGCUGUUAUUUUUAACGUCCAUUGACAAAAGGUCACAUAAUCCUCCUUGAAGCUAAGAUGGUCAGAGCAGAUGUUCAAAACUUUAAAAAGGAAAAAGGUGGGUGGGUUGGGAGGCAACUAUCAGGACAAUUUUGGGCAGCAUGCUUUUCUAGAAUUAGCAAUGUGUCCUUUAGAAUCUUCCAUAACCUGGAAUAGCUGUGAGUGUUUUUCUUUGGAUGCCAAGUGACCGCCAGUGAUGGGUAAAUCAGCCACGCCUCUCACUUUGAUUUCUAGCAUUUUAUAGCAUAUUCUUACACGCCACCCUAAUCUCCGAGUGGUGCGAGUUUCCAGGGGUUUAGGCACUUACCAAGGGUUUAUAUUUCCUUUGGAAAUGAGGCACAGCAGAGACUGUGGUGUCUUUAUGAUGUAUGUGCAAUAGACAACAUUGCAUACAAAAAUGUAUUUAUUAGGUGAAACUCUCCAUGAAAAUCCUGAUGAAUUUUCAGGGAGGCUUCUAGACGUCUUUUAAAAAAGAAUACAAACAAAAAUCAUUAAUUACUCUGCAUUAAUUUAUUUGGUGCAUUUAAAUCCCACUUUUCUUCCCUCAUAGAUACUGUCCGGUUCCCAGGCAGUUUCUCAUCCAAGCCUUGACCAGACCCCAAACAUGGCUGCAUCAGGUCCUCUCAGACCAUGUCGUAGGGCCAUUAAUAUGAAUUUUACUUUGCAAUUAUGAUCAAUUAUUAUUUAUUUACUUACUUAUAUCCCAACUUUUCCCUGACAGGGACUCAAUGCCCCUUACACCUAAAAUGGAACCACCUAAAAACAUAGGGAAAGAAGUGCAAUUAUUUUUUUAGAAAACAAUUAAACAUUAUGUUUUACAGAUCUAUGCUUUAAUUACAGAUACUGAUAAAUCAAUAAUACAAAUCCUGUAACAAAAAUAUUAUAACCUAAGAGUUGCUUUGAGGAUCAGGCAAAGAUCCAUGUAGCCCAAGUGUCUUUGAGAACCUAAUAAGCAUUCCAUGAAGGUUGAGUGAUUAUGAGAACAAGACCUCACAGUGGGACAAGACCUCACUGUGGUUCCUUACAAAUAUUAAUUUUUGGGAAGGGUAAAUGGGUGAAGUCAUUCUCCAUCAAGGACUCACCAUCAUUGCUGUUCUCUCCUCUCCUUCCCCCUCCCCCUCGUACUCAUACUAAUCUUCAAGGUUGUUGCUUAAAUCUGAUUUUCCAUCUGGAUAAGGUGACUAUGAAACAUCAUGGCCAGUGAUCUGUGACUGUAACAUCCCUAAAAAGAGACACAUUUCCACACCCCAGCUUGAACCCCUUUUUAUUUUUAAGGAGGGGUUCUGCCUUUUUUAAAUUUCUCACAAGGCAAUAACUAACUAAAUAUAUUUUGCCUUCCUAGGACUAAGCGUAUGGGAAAAGGCUGCUCACAAAGUAAAGAAUAAUAUAUAUGUAUUAUCACAAAUUUAAAGUACAAUAAUUUACAAUAAAACAGCAGACCAACAUCAGAAAUAAAACUGCAUUAAAAAAGACUUUUCAGCGAACAGAUUAUAAAUACAUAAUUGCAAGCUCUAAGUGGAAAAUGUCAACAGGAACAAAAUGGUCUUAAGAACCAAUUUAAAAAUAGGCAAAUAGGAGGCUGGCUAGCUGAAUCUCUCCUGAGAGACUUUUCUGUAAUUCAGGCAUCACAACAGAGAAGGUUGUUGCUCUUUUCCAUACUAACUCCACUUCUCAAGGCUAGUCAGACAUUUCACAAGAUGGUGACCUUUCAAUUCCACAGACUAGAGUCACCUGGACUAGAAGUCACCUUUUUCUUCAACACUGGUGUGACAGACAUCAAUCAACCUCUUCUCAGUGCACUAUGCCAAUCAUUUGGGGUUCCUUUUUCAGUCAGCCUAAAGUCUUCCCGAAUCUUCUUUCUCAGUUCAGCUCAUCUGUUGGUGAUUUCCCAUGUGGGAAUAAACACCUCACCCAUUCCAGUUCUGCUUUGAAGUAUUUAUUGAAGAAUUAACACUAUAGCUUGUAUAACUACUGGCCUAAGGAAAAUAAAACAGAACUAUAUACAGUACAAGGACGCGGGUGGCGCUGUGGGUAAAACCUCAGUGCCUAGGACUUGCCGAUCGUAUGGUCGGCGGUUCGAAUCCCCGCGGCGGGGUGAGCUCCCGUCUUUCGGUCCCAGCUCCUGCCCACCUAGCAGUUCGAAAGCACCCCUAAGUGCAAGUAGAUAAAUAGGUACCGCUUUCUAGCGGGAAGGUAAACGGCGUUUCCGUGUGCUGCGCUGGUGCAGGCUCGCCAGAGCAGCUUCGUCACGCUGGCCACGUGACCCGGAAGUGUCUGUGGACAGCGCUGGCUCCCGGCCUCUUAAGUGAGAUGAGCGCACAACCCUAGAGGCGGACACGAUUGGCCCGCAUGGGCAGGGGUACCUUUACCUUUAUAUACAGUACAGAGAAUCAUUCUUCCUCUCUGCUCUUCAACCAUCCGGACAGAGUGACCAGCACACUCUUUCAGAGGUUUUCUCAUACAAAUGUCUGUCACUGGGGAGAAAAUUUGUUGCUAGGAUCAAACUUGCUAGCGGCAAAACUAUUCAAGGAUAAUUUCAAGUCUGUUUUUAGACUACACUAACACCUCUACCACACUUGAGGCCACAGGACUAUCUUGGAGGGCAUGGCAGAGACAGAUUUAGGGGAGUGCGACUGGUUCAGAGCUUGGCUUAGGACAGUCUGAAUGACACACGUUUAGCCCUCCACCAUUUCCUCUCCCCCUGCCGCCUGACUAACAUAGGACCAUUAAUUUCAAUGGGUCUAUUCAGAACAUGGCUAUAACCCUAAAUGUUAUUUCCAACCUUGCAUGCAAAUUAGAAAUAUUCUUGUUUUACGGGUGUUAGGAUGGAAACAGGUGGCAGGCAGCCUUUCACCUGCUAAAUAAAUCCCACAAGGUGGUCAUAAAUACCUGUACUUCUGUUGUGUCUGCCAACAGUUCACAAAAGCCACUAAGCUUGAGGGAGGGAGGGUUUGGCAAGUAAGAUUGUACUUAAUUGCACCCUGUGUGUAUACAACUACACAAAAACAUAUGUAGAAGGUGGUGGUUUAGAAGCAACUACAACAGUAUGUUCGUGCAGACAGGCGUUUGUGUUAAAGGAACAUUUAUUGCUCAAGUUAACAGUGCAGUUCUGUUGCACCCAACGUUAACAAAUGUUACAUUGAAUGCGGAGAAUGAAGGGUUGUGAGUUGACAGGAUGACCCUGCUGUUUUAUGCUUCCUUCCAUGUGCAAAGCUGCCCCAAUAAAUUUGGGUUUCCAAUAUUGAAUAGCCAAAGCAACUCAUGCCCCCAAGUGUUGUAACCAUUUAUCCCCUCCCCUAUGCAAAUAUGGAAAAGGCAGAAAGCUGAUGAGAGCAGCCUUUUGGAUUAUAAACUUCCACCAUCUGAGACUUCUGUGCUAAAUAGCAGGUCAAUGUUUGCAUAACCGAAAACAAGGGCCGAGGAAAUUUUAUUUCAGCAGGGAAAAUAUUCCAAUCCAUUCAUUUCCAAUCCAUUCAUUUUUGUCUGGUUUUAGGAACUAGUAGAAUACCAGGCAAGCUAGUGGUUGCUCCAAGCUCACACUGCAUGCCCCCCCUUUUUUUACAAAGCCAUCCUUAUGUUCCUAUACAAAUAAUUUUUGAACUUUCACCACUUUGGAACUAACCUAAGUUUUGCUGCCUGUUGGUUUUUUUUUACUGCUCUAUGGAAAAUCACAUGAAUCUGACCUUUGAAGAAGUGUAAGUAAACCAUUUUUAACUUAUCAAACAUGUGAUCUUUUUCUAUGCUGGGGGAAGUGGAGAACUUUGGAAGGUAUAUUUUAAAGGUCUAAUAGGCUAUAUUCCUAUGCUUUACUGUGCUUCAUAUUUUGUGAUUUUAAAUCUCUGCUGGCGUUCUAUUACCAAAGAGUACUUGCACCAAGCCUGGUUCUUGGCACCCAGGGAAUUCUCUUUCUCUUUAUGCAUUUGUUUUUAAAUUUCCCAGCCAAUAAUAGCAAAUAUGCUUCACUGUUCCCCUGAAGUGACAAAAUGGCUGAAGCAAGCUAUGAUUUGAGGCUGGCACUCAGGAAACAUAGGCAAACAUGGCAAGUGAUUUCAUCAUUCUCCAAUAGUGUGAAUGAUUAUUUUAGAAAUCUCCUUCCUCUAUACUUUUGUUGUUGUUGUUUUUUACUAUUUCACACUGUGGCUGAUAUUUCCGAGGGAAAAUUCUGUCUUGCCUUUUUCUCAAAACACGUGUGUGUGUUUAAUGUUCUCCUUUCUGCUUCAAUGACUGCACAAAGUGCUAUUAUCUGUUUUCUCCCUGAGCAUUAAAGCAAUUCUUUAAGUGAUAGACCUGCCCAGAAUGUUUCUCUGAUCAUUAUGAGACUGCCAAUCGCAAUUGUUUUUGUAGCAAUUUUAUGAUCGCCUAGCCAUGUGGACUAAAAAACUUGUUUUAUUUAAAAGGAACGCGCUUUUGUAUGGCGUAAUGAGACUGGGAUACAAAUACCUCUCAGUAGGACACAUUCUUGUGAAAUGAUUUAGUGUCCCAGCUGGGAUUUGGCUCCUAGAGAGAUUUCCAGAUUUGUUGCUUACUGACGUUGGUUCGUGUUUAGGGAAGAGAAAGCAAUGUUACCUUGUGAGAAAAGCCAGUUGAGGGUGAGGGGUGGAAUGGGGGGAUGCAGUGGCGAGAAAAAUAGUCUUGAUUUUCCCAACACUGGCUUGAUGUAUCACAAAUGACAUAUUAGGGAAUAAUAUUGCUUUCCUCUCUGCUGUUCAUUCGAUAACAAGGUUUCCCAAAUGUAGGUCUCCAGUUGUUUUUGGACUACAAUUCCCAUCAUCCCUGACCACUGAUCUCUCUAGUUAGGGAUGAUGGGAAUUGUAGUCCAAAAACAGCUGGAGAACCAAGUUUGGGAAACCCUGCUCUAUAAGAACUAAGGAGACAGUUUGCUGGAUCCACGAAAAGUAAGGGACUUCAAGUGGACUUCAUACAAUGACCACCCAAAAAGGGGAAAUGCAUCUCUCACACCCAAAGGAGGCCACAGAUUAACAACGGGGGAAAUGCAUGUGCUAAUUUAUAUGAAUUUUUUAUGUAACCACUAUUCACCAAUGGUAGCCAAACUCUGUCCCAUCUGGAAAAUGGACCUCCAACCCAUGGUUGCACCAGCCUAUCAAAUGAAUAAAAUGCAAGCCAUAAAUAAUUUAUAAACUAAACAUAAAGGUAAAGGUAAAGGGACCCCUGACCAUUAGGUCCAGUCGUGGCCAGCUCUGGGGUUGCGGCGCUCAUCUCACUUUAUUGGCUGAGGGAGCCGGCGUACAGCUUCCGGGUCAUGUGGCCAGCAUGACUAAGCCGCUUCUGGAGAACCAGAGCAGCUCACGGAAACGCCGUUUACCUUCCCGCUGGAGCAGUACCUAUUUAUCUACUUGCACUUUGACGUGCUUUCAAACUGCUGGUUGGCAGGAUCAGGGACCGAGCAAUGGAAGCUCACCGCGUCGUGGGGAUUCAAACCACCGACCUUCUGAUCGGCAAGUCCUAGGCUCUGUGGUUUAACGCACAGCGCCACCCGCGUCCCUAAACUAAACAUAUACUUACUUAUAUCUGUAAAUAUGCCAUUAUGGCUCACUGAAUGUAUACCAUGCAGGAUUGUAUCAUAUCUUCAGCAGUAGGGACAUGGGUAGCGCUCUGUCUAAACCACUGAGCCUCUUGGGCUUGCAGAUCGGAAGGUCAGUGGUUUGAAUCCCUAUGACGGGGUGAGCUCCCAUUGCUCUGCCCCAGCUCCUGCCAACCUAGCAGUUCAAAAGCACACCAGUGCAAGUAAAUAAAUAGGUACCACUGUGGCAGGAAGGUAAACGGCAUUUCCAUGCGCUCUGGCUUCCAUCAUGGUGUUCCGUUGUGCCAGAAGUGGUUUAGUCCUGCUGGCCACAUGACCCGGAAAGCUGUCUGUGGACAAAUGCCGGCUCCCUCAGCCUGAAAGCGAGAUGAGCACCGCAACCCCAUAGUCGCCUUUGACAAGACAUAACUGUCCAGGGGCCCUUUACCUUUACCUUUUUACUGAACCAAAGAAGAACAAAGCAAUUUGUAGAUCCAACAAUUGAAAUGACCUCAGAGUUCCAAGUGCAGGUCCCAAUCCGAGCAACACUUACAGUUCCUUAUAGGCACCUGAUGGUAGAGCAGGAACCUGGACAAAUCUGCAACUCUUGAAGCAGGCAAAACAUCCAGGCCUCUUCCAAACUCUCUGCCUUCUCCUCCAAGCUGGCUUCCGGAAUUCUCCUACAAGAAAAAGGUUAGUGAGCAUGCUCCACUGCUGUGGAGAAAAGGGGAAGGGGUCAGAUUAUGGGCCCUCUGUUGGCUUUUACAAUGUCUCUUCCCUGCUCCUAAUAAGGAUUACAGUAUGGGUUACCUAUAGAUGCAAAUUUAUAAAUAAUUGCUAUGCUUUACAGGCUUUUGUUUAAGUGGUGUAUAUAAUUUUUUUUUAAAAAAAGCUUGCAGUAGAUUUAUCAAUUGAAAUUAAACAGAAAAACAGAAAAUGUCCUUAAAAUUGCCUGUUGAAGUAGAAAGGUUCAAUAGAAGUUCAACAAGGAGUCAUCUUGUCUAAUCGCAGCGAGGAAGAAGUGCCACAGAAUUCGGUCUACAAUACUGAAUGCACAGCUUCUGGUGCACUGGCCCGGCCUAGCCCAGUUCAACACCCUGAGAUGAAAUGGUAAGGUGCCACCUUUCCCUGGCCGCUCCCUCCCCUCUCCCAAAUUUCUUCCCCAUCUCUAGUGUAAAUUAAUAGACAUUUAAAGCAAAAAAUCUUGAUUAUUAUUCCUCCCUACCCAUCUGUGCAAGUGAUAGCCAUUUGUUUGGUCCUGGAACACAUACCGGUACUUUCCUAUGACUAAUCAUUAUAUUAUAUGAUCUGUCUCACCUCAUGAGUUUGCUCGAAUAAGUUUACUCUUUCACUGGCUGAAACAGAUUCCUUGCAGUUCGCAAAAUAGAGUACAUAUGGGGCUGCAUGUGACUUUGCCGUGCGACUAUGUUAUAGUGAAUGCCAAAAGGGGAGAAACACGUGGAAACAAAGCAUGAUUUUCAACUUGCAGACCCUUGAGUUAAAUUUAAGUGAGCACAUAUGGGGGUAAGUGGCAGAACUGAAAUAUGACUAAGGGAGAGGGUGGUAUUUCAGAACUGGAAAUCAUGGAAAUUUUGAUCAGCAAGAUGGAAACACUGGGGUUUCAGCUACAUUCUUCUAGAAAGAACCCAAGAAAUCAAACAAAAACUUGGAUGUGCUUAGAAUAGCCAUGCACAUCACCCACAGAAAUAUACAUACAUUUUGUUUGGGUCACAACACUGAUGGAAAAAUGUUAGGCUUUCAAUUCCAGGCUCUGGAAGCACCCAUGGUUCAAAUGUGCAUUUCUUUUCCAGGGGUGAAAAUCCAUCCUGCAAGUUUCAGGUAGAUGCUGGUUGUUCAUGGUAUUGACUGGCAGGGCCCCUAAAAUGUCAUCAAGAAGCCUUCCUACCCCUCCUGUCCUAGACCUGCUUUGUACUUAGCAAAAAAACCAUAUAUAGAUGUACAGAUAUAGUAAGAGAGAGCAACAAAUGAAUGCAUAUGUCCAUUACUAUUCUUGCAACACUUUGAAAUGGGGGAAGGGCAAGACUGAGCUAGUAUUCACUUCACUGUUGCAACUGAAAUGACAGGUAUAUGUGUUCUGAAGAUGGAAAACAGGGACAAACUGUGAGCUCUCCUUUAAUAUUAGGUUUGUCUUAACCCUUAAAAAUUGGUUAAUUUUAGAUUUCUUCAUUUAUUGUUGCAGCAAAGAUUAUUAUUUUCUGUCCUAUUGCACCUUUAUUCUGCAUUAAUAUGCUUAGGGAUGGAAAAAGAAUUUGAUUUAGUACACAUUUAAAGGCAAAUCUUUUUCCGCUUUUUGAAACAAUAUGUGAACUGAAACACAGCUGUCCUCUGAAAUUUGCACAUCUGAAUUUCACAGUGCAGUUCUCCAACCAGUUUUUACACACAAAAAAUGCAUAUGUUAGGGAAAGCUGUACAUAAAUAGGAAAGUAAAAUACAAACAUGCAUUAUAUUAGGGUAAAUUACUUGCAGAAAUGUGUACAUUAGUCAAAACUGCAUAUAAAAAUGUGUGUGUUCAGAAAAACAUCAUGCUAAAAUCUGGUGAAUUUUCAUGAGGAUUUUUUUAACAAACAAAAAACUUGCAAAUUGUUGCAAAAUGUGAAGAACGUAAUUUAAAACUGGGAAAGAUAGAAACUGAGACAAGCAAAACUGAGACAGAUCCACCCUCAAUGUGCUGUUCACUGCCGUAAGGGCCUUUGAGUUAAAAAGCACCAUAUAGCAUACCUUAACAUAACAUUUUUAAAAAAAGAAAAAUCCUCCCUGCAAAAGACCAUUAAAUCAACGCUCUAAAAUUAUCUAACCAUAACACUGCUUAAAGCACCAGCAUCCUCAGUCCUUCCUCACAGGAAAGGUGCCAGGACCUGAUCAUUGUCCACAACCAUUUUUUGCCCUUCUUUAACAUGUAUGCUGUAAAAGGGGGCAGAGUUUGAAGUUCAUCCUCCUCCUUUCUUAAAUAAUUGGAUCCAUUCUGUGAGAGUUGAGCUUCUCGGUCAUUCCCUUGUUUGUUUGAAAUAAACAAACGAAUUAAUAAAAUAUUCUAUAUAAUUUUUCAGUUGCCCGCAAGACUCUGAAAAGCUACAUUUUCCCCCAGAAAGAAAUAAAAGACCAUUGUUAAAGAGAUUAUUUUGCGAUAGCCUUCAAAGCAUAUGAUGCAAUUCCAUCAACUUCAAUUGCUCUUAAGGGAGACCCAAAUUUUGAUGGUAUAAUUCACUUUCAAGAGGCCUGCUGAUAGGGCUCAUUAGUUUAAUUCCACACAUUGUGCUUAUUGAAUAUAUAAGUAAUUUGCUACUCAAUGAGCUGUGAACAUUUUCUGGGCACCUUCCAUCUCCUUUUUAUUUUCCAGCCUAGACAAUUAGAUCAGAAAAGAGCAGAACAUAUAAAAAAAAAUCUUAGAACAUGCAAGUAAGCAUGACUGGAUUGGCUUUUGGCCUUAUUUUUAUCCACCAUAAUGUUUCUUCAAGCUUAGACAUGUGUUUGCUCCACAGUUUGUCCUAUUUAUAUGCCGAAGUUUCAAAGUUCAACUAUUUUAGACUUCUGUGCAUGGAAAAUAAGUGUGGCUGUUUUUGUUGUUGUUAUUCUGCAUUGGAAAUAAGAUACCCAAUGAUUUAUUAAAUGUGAAAUAAAAUAGAGAGACAAUUUAUCAUCAACACUUGGACACAUCUGACUAAUCCUUUCCCCCUGUAAAUAAAAUUUGCAAACUAAACAUUCAAACCCAGCUGAAACUCUAUUGAUGUUCAAUGUGAAUAUUUUAUACUGAAGUUCUACAAUUUCCCUUUUUAAAAACAAAAAUUCAGAUCGUCAACAAAAAAUAACUAAGGGUAAAUAAUAAGUUUUGGCUACUCCUGUGCUGUUGACUUCCAGCAUUGGCAAAAGGUUCCAUCAACUAUAUUUAUCCUUGUAACGGUGAAGUCGUACUGGUACGAAGGUCUACUUUUCACCAGUCUUGAAAGUAGACCUUGCACCAGAGCAAUAAUAGCUACCAUGUAAUGAUAGAGCUUUUAUUGAGGGUGAAAGAGGAGAGCGCAAAAUAUGGUCUGAAGCUCAACAUCAAAAAAACGAAGAUCAUGGCAACUGGUCCCAUCACCUCCUGGCAAAUAGAAGGGGAAGAAAUGGAGGCAGUGAGAGAUUUUACUUUCUUGGGCUUCAUGAUCACUGCAGAUGGCGACAGCAGCCACAAAAUUAAGAGACGCCUGCUUCUUGGGAGAAAAGCAAUGAAAAACCUAGACAGCAUCUUAAAAAGUAAAGACAUCAGCUUGCCAACAAAGGUCCGUAUAGUAAAAGCUAUGGUUUUCCCAGUAGUGAUGUAUGGAAGUGAGAGCUGGACAAUAAAGAAGGCUGAUCGCCGAAGAAUUGAUGCUUUUGAAUUAUGGUACUGGAGGAGACUCUUGAGAGUCCCAUGGACUGCAAGAAGAUCAAACCUCUCCAUUCUUAAGGAAAUCAGCCCUGAGUGCUCACUGGAAUGACAGAUCGUGAAGCUGAGGCUCCAGUACUUUGGCUACCUCAUGAGAAGAGAAGACUCCCUGGAAAAGACUCUGAUGUUGGGAAAGAUGGAGGGCACAAGGAGAAGGGGACGACAGAGGAUGAGAUGAUUGGAUAGUGUCUUCGAAGCUACCAGCAUGAGUUUGACCAAACUGCGGGAGGCAGUGGAAGACAGGAGUGCCUGGCGUGCUCUGGUCCAUGGGGUCACGAAGAGUCGGACACGACUAAACGACUAAACAACAACGAUAGAGCUUAUAAAUUAGAGUUUAUAAAGCUACCCCCUCAGUAUUAAUGAAAUGGACUUGCCCUUUAGUCUCAUGGCUUAGUCUAGUUUCAAAGGUGAAGUUGUUGCUCAAGUUUGUAUAAGAAGUUGCUGAGCAUAAAGCUAUUCCAAGCCGUUCCUCAUUACUUUAGCCUGUCUGUGGACCCAGAAUCAACCAGUACUGGUCCACUGUUACUGGAAUAAAUAUAAUGCAGAAAGGCAUUUUCCUCUUGGGCGAAUGGUGCCUUUCUUGUGGCUUAGGGCACAAGAGCAAAAGACACAAACCAGGACCAAUAACAAUAAUUUUAUUAUUUAUACCCCACCCAUCUGGCUCGCUUUCCACAGCCUCUCUGGGUGGCUUCCAGCAGAAUAUCAAAACAAAAUAAAUAUAGAAACACAAUCCGCCAAUCCGCCAGUUCUUGCACUGUGCCAUUAAUUUCAAAGAGGCUUGAGCAUUUCAAUGGACUGUGCCCUGAACUUUUAGCCCUAGCAGAGAAUACGGAAGUAGGGGAAUCACAAGUGAUAAUCUUGUAUUGGGAUGCCAUGGGAAUUCCUCACAACACUUUCUCUGGAUUGAGAAGUGGGCUUCCGUCUGUGUUCCCUUAGUAGCCUAUAAUGCUGAUCAGAUUUAUAAAAAGCUAUUUUGUGAUGGUAGGUCCGCUUUCUGUGGUUAAAUCCAUGGCUAUGCCAUUUAACAACUGUUUUAAAAGCCUGCAGGAACAUAAGCAGGUAACUCCAGUAUCAAAUGAUUCCAAAAAUAGCCUCUAGCACAAGUUCCUAAAGCUUUUGCCUGAUGUGCAUAGAAAGAUAAUAAAACCACUGCUAAUAUAUUUUCCACUUACAUUUCAGUCAGGAAUAGCAAUCCUACUUGGGGCUUUUUCUGGUUUAAUGCAAAUAUCUCCAUAGAUUGUCUCCAAAAUUAGUCUUACUAACAUGGAAACUGUGAAACAUUUUCAACCCCUAGAUUUGAGAAAUUCUCCCUUCUUCAAAUUUUACUAAUUGAUUUAUUCACCCAAAUUUUGACUGCUGCAUUUUCCUUUCUAUCUAAAGUUUCUGGCAUCUCUGUUAGUAUCUGGAAGAUUUAUACUAACUGACUUUAUAAGUGGAUAUACAGGUAUCACACUGACUCAAAAUGUAUCUUAAAAUCAGAAGAAAACCAAAAUAAUGAGGAAAGCAUUACUCUUAAGAUUUCAUUUGUAGAUGCUUUCAGUAACGUUAGCACUGGUUGGAUAGAAAAAUAAUACUAAUAAAUAUGAGAGAGGGUGCUUAAUGGGAGCAUCCAUUGAGAUAAAGGAUUCCCUGGUGAUCUACUGAGAAUCAACCAGAGAUCCAGUGCUUUGUUUCUGGGGGGACGCAGAAAAUAAGGAGUGACUCUGAUUAACAGGGGCCAUUGGCGCGUGUGUCAUAGCCUGAAUAAAAAGGAAACUGCAUAUCUUUGAACUUACAUCACUUACGAUUGCCAUAUUUUUUCUGUGUUUCUCCUACCAAGUAGAAGAUAGGUCUUCUUACUACAGCCUUUGAGUACCCAGUUCUGUCCUGCAUUUCCUGUUCAAUAUCUCUUAGGAUGAUAAAGUUGAAAACAUUGAGAUGUAAACCCGGUUCCAUGACAAACUGUGGGUGAACUGCACAAUGUAGUACUGCAGAUUGGGGGAGCCAAGAAGAAAUGCCUGUCCAGAACUAAUUGGUAUUUUUUUCAGGGGGGGGGGUUGUAUAUGUGCUAAACUUGUAAUUCCAUCUAUUUAUUGGCUUGCAGUAGGGAUAAAUUUGUGAAUUCACAAAAGGGACAUCGCGAUCAUGCGCCGCACUUUGCUGGCUUUGAAAAGCUUGUGAGUAACACUGAGCAAUUAAGAUGCCCUUUUUAUAGCUCUUUCAAGUGUAAUCAAGUGAAUAAUUGAAUAAAACCGAAUGAAGGCCACAGCAGGCCACCCACAAGUAUGCUGGCUUUUCAUAGCUGCUACAAACUGAUGAGAAACUCAGGGUGGGGGAGGGCCAUCUAUUUCACAAUGCUCCUCAUGCUGUAUGGAUUAUGCAGUGAAUUUGAGGCUUGGCUUUACGUUUCUGGAUUCUUAACCACAAAGGUGGCAGCAUCGUUGUUACUUAAUUUGCUGAUGCUCAGUAGUUUCUUAGGACUGUCUGCUCUAAAUUACAUUUGGUGAUGUACUGCUCGUUUUUAGUGGCAGAAGCCUCCCAGGGUACGCCUGCCUCUUCACUGGCGGCGCUGAUUUGGGGCAAGAUCAUGGGAAGAUCUUGCCCCAAACUGGCAACAAUGGCGAUACUGCUUCCCUGCCAGUAGCGGAUGGGGCAGGGCAUGCAGUGGUGCCAGAGAAGGCAACGGGAGCGGGAGCAGAUAGAUGGUGGUAGGAGCAGUGAUGGCAGCAGGGCAAAGCAGUACUUCCCAUUUUGCCUCAAACUGUGAAACAGGACGCGUUCCCCCUGCCACAGCAGUGGGCCUUUGGCUUGCCAAAAUUUGCUGGACCGGUGUGUUCCCACAAGGCAAAAGCACUCUGCGCUUCAUGGACUGGCAAGCCAAUCCAGGGAGUUGUUAUUAUUACUAUUGAUUAUUUUAUUAUUAUUUUUUAUUAUUGCUUAUUAAUAGUAUUAUGAGAUGUAUGUGGCCAUGUCAAUAAAUAUUCCCUAAGCAGCUUACAGCAAAACAAUAUCAAAAAUAUAAUACAUAGCAAUUAAAACAACAACGAAAAGGACAAACAGUCUGCAGCCCUGAUUCCCCCACAGGUGCUUUCUAAGUAUUAAAGAUUAAUGCAACACACCUUCAAUAUAACAUGCAUUUUGCAUCUUGAACCUUUGGACUAUGCAUAUGAACGGUGUUGUUAACUUUUGAAAACAUCCUUAAACAGCAAAAUGUUAUGGCAAAACGUCCUCUCUAGGUUAUUAAUGUUGCUAAUAUAAAAAGCAUAAGAGAGCCAUUUCAAAAUUGUAUGUCAAUCCUGUCCAAUGAGAUUUUUAAAAUUUGAUUAUCACUUGGAGAUAAUUGGAACAUAAGUAUUAGGAUUGCAGCUGAAUAGAGUCUAAUGUAACUUCAAUAAAGUCUUUCAGCUUCAAAUUAACGUCCUUUCGAGGAGGUAAUGGCUUUCUAGGAGGCAAUUUAUCUCUCCAAUUAGUUUUAAUAAGCACAAUGACAAAGGUAAGAUGAACUAGUUUACUGGGCUACCUGCUUUUGAUGGGAGUCCACUGAAAGAUUGCUUGGCCUCUAUAAUUCUCUGAGAUCAACCCAUAAACAGUGCUAUAGACAAUUUGAUUUUAAUGAUGUUUAGCAGUGAUUUGGGGAGGCCUCUGUAAUCCAAGAAUCUUUGGUUACAGCUGAAACUUGUGAUUACAAGUAAACAUUAUUUUACUGCCUUUUCAUUAGAAACCUUGGGUUGUAUCCAGUGGUUGUGCAAGUGGAAGGCAGCUUACACAACUGAGACCUCUUUCCCUGCUUUCCUCUGAAACCCACUCGACCAUCCCUUGAAGAAAACCUUUCCAAAAGGUCACGUGGGGCUCCUGAAUUUUGUGUGUGUGUGUGUGUGUGUGUGUGUGUGUGUGUGUGUGUGUGUGUAACAGGGCUGCAGUGUAAUCACUUGGAAUCAGGUGGAGGAAUAUUGCAUUAGUAGAGCUCUGCUCAUGCAACCAUGCAAUGCAGCCCUUUCCCAUUUGAGUUGCCUAGUAAAAUAGAGUAUGUCUUGUGGCUGGAACAUCAUAAAUUUAAAAUACUUUUAUUUGGGUCAGCAUAAACAAAGGACUAACAUAAACACUUUUUUGUUACAAGCUUAAAUCUUAAUAACAUUUUGCACAAAAUCAGCACAGUACCAUCAAGAAUCAGCAGGAAAACUACAUACAGUGGUACCUCGGGUUAAGUACUUAAUUCGUUCCGGAGGUCCGUUCUUAACCUGAAACUGUUCUUAACCUGAAGCACCACUUUAGCUAAUGGGGCCUCCUGCUGCCACCGCGCCACUGGAGCACGAUUUCUGUUCUCAUCCUGAAGCAAAGUUCUUAACCUGAAGCACUAUUUCUGGGUUAGCGGAGUCUGUAACCUGAAGCGUAUGUAACCUGAAGCAUAUGUAACUCGAGGUACCACUGUAUGUAAGAGGUGAUCCUAUCCAGGUCAGAUUGCAGGUGCACCACCAGUGACCAUGUGAAUAAAUGCUGUUGCAGCCAUGCGCAUAGCUCCAUAUUAACAGUAUAACUCAUUUAAAACAGUGCAAGCAUCAAAUUACACACACACACUUGGCCAAAUUAGUGGAGAAUGCACAACCCACACUACUCCAUCGGCAGUGUCCAGGGUCUUCAAAACAGGAUUAAUUUUCAACACACAAACUAUACAUAGGAAUGGUUCUUAGUGCCUCUUCAUCACCUGUGGAAGAGACAGAUUUGGGCUUGAUCCUGCCAGAGUUAAAGAACCUAUACAGUAGUACGUCAGGUUACAUACGCUUCAGGUUACAUACGCUUCAGUUUACAGACUCUGCUAACCCAGAAAUAGUGCUUCAGGUUAAGAACUUUGCUUCAGGUUGAGAACAGAAAUCGUGCUCCGGCGGCGCGGCAACAGCAGGAGGCCCCAUUAGCUAAAGUGGUGCUUCAGGUUAAGAACAGUUUCAGGUUAAGUACAGACCUCCGGAACGAAUUAAGUACUUAACCCGAGGUACUACUGUAUAUUCCAUUUAUUUCCAUGAGAGAGUAAAGCUCAUUUCCUCCAAUUUCCUUCUUUAGGCAAGUAAAUGACAUUGAAUAAAUUGCUUAGGCCACAACUUAAAAAGUUAGGCUGGUUAAUUUUAAAUAAGGCUAUAGAUUGUUUCAACAUAAUUUUGGGGAAGCUGCAUUUUUAGUAGUUUUCAGCUUCCCUUCCAGCCACAACCAUGAAGCUUCUAGACUCCGUAAUGUGGCCACAGUUUGAGUGCUUUGCAUAACUGGGCAGGCUUUGAUUUCAGAUUAAUGCUUUUAUCUAAAAGUCCUCCCUAAUGAGUUACAGUAUACCCAUAAUGAAUAAAACCAAACACAGGUACAUAAAUGCUUUUCUUUCCCUCUCCCCACCUCCUGCAUUUCUUUUACAGAGCUGGCUGGGGCAUAAAUGUCAUAUUGAGAUACUCGCUGUGUUAAAAAUUAGUUUCACUAAUAGUUUCUUGCUGUGACAUGUACAGCUGGAGCAAAAACACAAUUGAUUUUUCUCUGAACUUGUAAUCGCUGAGCUAAUUUAAAGCUGCAUUUGCACAAAGUAGCCAUGAAAGAUGGGUAUGUAAAUUGGGCCCAGAUUUUUAUUUAUUUAUUGUAAAUUCUCAUUUACAUAAAAUCAUAGAAUUGUAGAGUUGGAAGGGACCCAAGGGUCAUCUAGUCCAACCCCCUGCAAGACAACAAUUCUGCCCACAGUCAUCCCUGAGGUGGGCAUCAAGUCCCUAUAACUGACAACACUAAACUGAUUUCAUUUAUUUUAAUCUAUAUAAUACAGUAUAUGCAAAGUAGGAUUGCCCUUAGGAUUUAAAAUAUGUACACAUCUGAUCUUUUCCAUUAUGUAUUUAAUGGGCCUGCAUGAGACACAAAUGACUUUUGUCUGAAUUCAUUUAGAUGCCAUUGGCUUUCGAAUUUUGCAUGCUCGGCUGACCUUCUAUACUUUUUCCAUGCAAUCUGUAUAUUGAAAACAAUCAGGACAUAUCACAGAGAGCACUCCCAUGUAUACAGCUUGUACACACUUGAUUGAAACAUAGAGGUUAGGAGUGAUAACACUGGGCAACAAUUUUUUACUUUUUGAAUGUUGUCUAGAUUUCUACAACUGAUUUAGGGUAUUUUUGCACUGCUGAAUCAGGAAAUGGCAUCCGUUUCUCUCCAUCAGGUCAGGUUUACUGUAAACUGGAUGGUGGGCAUUGAUAAAGGUAAGUACACAUAAAUUUGCAUGUUGCUUCACCAUUUUUCAAACUUCAGGGCUUGAACUUCCGUUUCUUGGAACUCCUGGAAUGCUCAGCGGCAGGGAGGUCUCUCUUUAGAGUCCAACAGUAGUCAGCCAUCAUGACUGCGUCCCAGCGACCCUCAUACCUGGUCUCCAUCUCUUUCAUGUCCUGAUGGAAUCUCUCCCCCUGCUCGUCACUCAUUGAACUCAGGUUCUCAGGAAACCGGUCCAUAUGUGAAAAUAUGUAGUGAAUCUUGACGCUCAUGUUGCAGCCCAGGUUUCUGAAAGCAGUCAGCAUGUUGUUGACAAGUUCUGUGUAGUUCCUGGCCUUAUUGUUGCCAAGAAAGUUCUUCACUACCAGAACAAAUGCCUUCCAUGCUUCCAGUUCCACUUCGUUCAUUGACUUUCCGAAUUCUGGAUCUCUGAGCUGACGGAUCCGAGGACCGUCAAAGAUGCCAGCUUUCAACUUCUCCAUGGUCAAUCCUGGAAGAGCCUGGCACAAGUAAGUGAAGCAGUCACCAUCCUUGUCCAGAGCCUUGGUGAACUGCUUGAUUAAGCCGAGCUUGAUGUGCAGCGGUGGGAAGAGUAUUCUGUCUCUGUCCACCAGAGGGUCGUUGAUGACGUUCCUUUCUUUGCAAAGCACCAAUUCCUCCCGCACAGGCCAGUCUUUCUUUGUGUAAUGCUGAGCACGGUCCCUAUUAUCCCACAUGCACAGAAAACAUGGGUACUUGGUGAAGCCAGACUGUUGUCCCAACAAAAAGUUCACCAUCUUCAGGUCAACACAAAUAAACCACUUAAGCUGAUCAUAACCAAUUUUCUCCAGCACAUACUUCACCGCUUCAUAGUUCUCCUUCAGUGUACUCGAGUGAGCCAGGGGUAUAGAGGCAAACUGGUUGCCGUUGUGUAGCAGAACACAUUUCAGUGAUCAGAUGCUGCUGUCAAUGAACAGUCUCCAAUCUUUGGGUUCAUACUGUGGCACUCCAAGCUUGAGCAGAAGCUGCGCAAUAUCUGCACAGUACACCAAGACCUUCUCUUCCGAGAAAAAACGGAGGUACUCUUGAUGCCUGUUGCGGAAGAAGCUGAUGCAAGCACUGUCAGAGAGGAGGUUUUUUUCCUUCAAUCUGGAUGCCAACAGUUCGGCAGAGUCCUUUGACAAGCUGAGGUCGUGAACUAGAUCAUUCAACUCCUUUUGGGAAAAUGGAUGUGGAGCAUCAUCUUCAAGAACCACUUCUCCUUCUUCAACACUGGAGGCAUCUUCGUCACUAAUGUCAGGAAGUUCUCCGAAGAUAGGCUCUGGAAUUUCAUCCCAAUGAGCUACAGGACGACGUGCUGAUUGAAGAUCAGGAUACUUCGUGGGGCGGCUGCCCCAUUAACUUAGUUUUGAUCCCCCAACUUUAUGCUUUGCCGCACCAAUUUAUGGAAGAUUUCGAGGUUUUAUGACUUCAAACUGAUCCCUUUUCGACAUAAUCACCUAGAACUAUCAGACCUGAAUACUUAUUGUCAUUAAAAUAAUCAUUUCCAAUCAAAACAAUUAUUCAACAUGGCAUUUUACCCCCACCAACUUCUUCUAAAAUGCUCCACACAAGCAUAUAUGUGAACAAAAACAUAAAAAAACGACAUGUGGCCAUAGCUGAAAAACUUGACCUGAUUGAGCAAAACCAAAGUGAUUUUUGGAUUCAGCGCAUCAGAUUUGUCCUAAAUCAACUGAAAAAACGCAGACAACAGAUUUGUUGUUGACCAGUGUAAUUAGUUGAAGCUUGCCUGGAAAUGAUUAGAAAAAUAUUUCGUGGUCAGGAAUAAGGAGGGCUACAGCAAAAUGUUGCAGUAUGGAGAGCUCCUUCCAGGGUUCUAACUGGGCAGCCAUGUCUUUUUCCAGGACACUCCAUUCCAUUCUCCCUCUUUUCCACCCGCUGACCAGUCACAUUUCAUGCCCACUGCAUAUGCUAAUACAUCUCUAUUUUGUGUUGAUGGUGCUACUGUACUUGUGUUUCACAAGGAUCAGCAGUCAGAAAAGUAGAGAACUUCUGAGAAAGCAAACCAGGCUGGAUCUAGACACAUCAAAAAAAAGUUUCAGGGGAACAGGUUGUAAGCCUCAUAAUGGGAAAUCAUGUUGCUGAAAGAUGGAACUCCACAGCGCCAUCGCAGUGUUAUAACGCAUUUAAAACACUUUUUAUUUACUAAUGUAGAUGAGUCCCCAUUGAAGGUUUCUUCAUGUUUCUUUUUUAAUAUUUCUGUCAGAGAUAGGUUGGGUUUUUUUAAGAUGUUCUGGUGUAUGACUAGAAUCUAGCUUUAAGGGUGGGAAGUUACUUGAAAAUGAAAAAUCUGAGGAGUUUUUUCCCCUUAAAUGAUACCCUUUAGGUCUUCCCCUGGCAUCUCUGAAGCCUCUGAAACCCCCCUCCCCUCCCCACCCUAACUCACACACCACACUUCAUUUAACUAUGGGUUAAAGUGAAGUACAAACAAGGCCACUGAAUGCAAGCACCUUUUUUUGCUUAGUUUUCCUGUUCUGUCCAGUAACUUAAUUCUUUGCAUUUUUACAUCUUUUUAAACAGAAAUCUGCUGUUUAGUACUUUUAAAAAAAGCAAAAAAACACAUUGUUCCCAGCAUUGUGAGCAGCUUUUCCAGGCAGGGGAAACCAGAAGAGGUUGUGUAUAUGUGUGUGUUUUUUAUGACUGAGUAAAACGGAAUUCCCUGUGGGCUGGUCUGCUUUUCUUCCAUUGUUCCCCUUAGCAUUUUCUUGAAAUGUUUCACUCACUAAUUUACUCUCCAGCACAUUUAUAGCCUUUUAUAUUUAGGAUUGUGUGCACUGUAUGUAUGAGAGACCUGCUUUUUCUGCUUCCUGUCUACAGUUUCCAUGUAUUGACUCUGGUAUAUUCUCGUGUGGGUUGUUUGUGAUGCAUGCAGCUUUAAAAUGGCUGGAGAGCGAGUGUGGGGUUUCUCCCUACUGCUAGACAAGAAUGAACUGGCUGCAAGAUUUCAAUUACCGUAUAGGUGCUUUCCCCCAUAAUAAAUUUUGAAAAUGUACCCUGGAGAGGCCAGGUUCACUUAAUGUUCCAUUUACACCCUGGUUUUGGCCAGGAGGAUCACCAUUCCAAGGAUUAGCAGUCGCUAAUUUAAAAACAAACAAACUAGACACAUUAAUUCCCACCACACAAUUCAGAUAACGUCUAGUUUGGCCUAAGAGUCCCAGCGUAAAUGAAUAUAAUAGCUGAGAGGCUUUUUCAGUUACCAUGCAGUGGGGCUUCCAUUCAAAAUGCAGCACUUUAGCAUCUGUGGGAUUGUCCCUGUUCCAGUUCCUGAGACUGCACACACACGAUUAGAUGUUGCUCUCAUAGGCUCAUCAUCUGUGCAAGUAAGAUGGGGAAUGAAAAGGACCGCUCUGAAUUGCAAGUUUAUGCUGGUCACUUCUGUGCAGGAAGCUGUGCCAGACACCUCCCGUUCCCUAAGACUUUCCACAAGCUCCGAGUAUGCGGCUGCUUCAGCAGUCCCACCAGUCAGCUUAAAUAGACAUGUGGAGAAACACAAACCACAGUGUUGCAAAAUGUAACAAUCAACAGAAUAGUUGCUCAGUGGAUCAGUGCUCACUGGAUAGUGUAGCUGCUGCUGAAUCCACUAGCAAGAUUCCCACUACAGUGGACGCUCGGGUUGCGAACGUGAUCUGUGCGGGAUGCACGUUCGCAACCCACAGCAUUUGCAACCUGCGCAUGCGCGGGUUGCGAUUUGGCGCUUCUGCUCAUGCACAAAGCACAAUUUAGCACUUCUGCACAUGUGCGACCGCCGAAACCCAGAAGUAACCCGUUCCGAUACUUCCGGGUUUUGGCAGUCCAUAACCCGAAAAAACACAACCUAAAGUGGCUGUAACCUGAGGUAUGACUGUAGUAUGAAAAUUUUUCACUGAGAAUUAUUUGCCGAUGAAGACUUUAUUCCGAAACAGUGAACUAUUCCGGACACACUGUCCUCUUGAGACUUCCUUUUAACAUUUCUGAUAGACGUCUUCCUUUGAGAGACAGCUUGGCGUUCCUCGCCAUUCAUUGACUUGUUUGACUCCUCAUUUGACUCUUAUAUAUACAACAACUUACAGUCACUUGUAUAUUUUGUGAGAUGUACUGUAUGAUAUAUACAUUAUUUCGAAGUGGCAUAUUAGUAUAUUUUGAAUGACAUUGUAAUUAAUUAUAUAUCCACUACCAGUUAUUAGCCAGCGUGUUGCGUUUGCAUUUGUGUUGAUAGCUUAAAUAGACCUGGCAUCAGCUGCACAGACAUGGACGGACAUGGUGGGACUCUCCCCUUCUUUGCUUCCACCGUUCCCCUUUCUGAACUGCCAAGCCAGAGAAAUUUAAACAGUGGUUUGUGGCUUGGCAAACGAAGCCUCUGAAGUGAAAAUGGAAAGAAAACCCCCAGGUGUGUGUGUGUGUUCUUGUCUCUUGAGAGAAGUGCUAUUGAUAGGUCUGGAUUGCAGACAUAGCCACUGCUUCAAAGCUGCAUAGCAUAGAUACCCCAAGUCACACAUAGGACUCCCGUAUGGGAGAGCUUCCUCAUUCCCUUAAAUGGAAGAGGACAUUCUGUGUCUGGAAGGGGAUGAAUCUCCACUGAACUGAAUGAGAAAGCUUUUGAAUAGACUGCUGAAGGUACAUGUAACACUGCUGAAUGGCUUGAUAUAGCCUAGUUAGGACCAAGUCACUCAGCAUAGAGCUAGAAGGCUAGAAAACCUGUUCUGCUGGAGAGUUGAAGAAUAUUUAUGGGCUCUUAUCACCUUAUAUGAAGUAAACAAAUUAUACAUAGGUAAAGGUAAAGGAUAAAAGGACCCCUGACCAUUAGUUCCAGUCGUGACCGACUCUGGGAUUGUGGCGCUCAUCUCGCUUUACUGGCCGAGGGAGCCGCUAUACAGCUUCUGGGUCAUGUGGCCAUCAUGACUAAGCCGCUUCUGGAGAACCAGAGCAGCGCACGGAAGUGCCGUUUACCUUCCCGUCGAAGCGGUACCUAUUUCUCUACUUGCACUUUGACGUGCUUUCAAACUGCUAGGUUGGCAGGAGCAAGGACUGAGCAAUGGGAGCUCACCCCGUCACAGGGAUUCGAACCGCCGACCUUCUGAUCGGCAAGUCCUAGGCUCUGUGGUUUAACCCACAGCGCCACCCGCAUCCCUUAAAACUAAGUUUUAAAACUUAAAACUAAAUUAUGCAUAGGCAUGGUUAAUUACCAAGGGGGAUGGGAAAUCAGUCCACAUCUUUUUCUCACAGAUGUGUUUGGAGGCCCACAAAGUAGCACCCUUCAAGCUGCAAAUGAUAAUUCUGCUGUUUGAUGAGGUCUUGUUACUUUGGGACUAAAGCUAUUUGCAAAGAAGCAACUCUGAGGUCUCUAGCACUUUUGUGGAUUAGAGGACUGGGCCAACCACAAAGUUUGUAAGCCAGAAAGGUCUAACCUUGCCCUUUGGAUUUGAGUUUCACAUUGUCUAUGUUGAACAAAUUACAUACACAUUUAGCUCUAUAUGAGCAAUUACUAUAUUGCUUUAUAUAAUUAUGGUUCCGACUAAGGGAAUUUGCAAGUUUUAGUCCAGCUAAGCCCCAUAGGAACCGUACAGGAAGGGCCAGCACAAGGAACCACUCAGUCAGGAUCAGAGCCUUUUAUCAGUUGAAGGUUAUUGUACAAGACCUGAUAGCUGCUGCUUUUUGGCAUGUAUGCAUGGAGAGAAACAGCUGAUAGAAUAAUGCCUCUAUGCAUAUCCAUGGUGCGACUGCACUUGGAAUGCAGUGUGCAGAAAGGGGCAGCCAAAAUGAUCAAAGUUUUUGGGCAACUCCCCUAUGAGGAAAAGUUACAACAUUGGGAGUGUUUUAGUUUGCUUGAGGCAGCUUACCAAAACAUAGCUAAUCAAAACUAAACUGAAAAAAUCAGUAUAAAAUGGCUGAAAUUAAAACCACAUAAUUAAUUUCACUUCCAAAUCCUAACUAGAACAAAAAGACCUUACUUUCUGGAAAUGAAAAAACCAACAACCCCUCAGCAAGGGAGAACAUUGUUCUACUUCUUCCAGAAGGGCAAUCCAAAGCUAAAAUAGCCCCCCUUCUCUGCUCUCCAGAGAAGGAAGGAAUCAAAGUGGUCAGGGGUCCUACUUUACCAAGGACAGGCCUAUUUGAGGCGCCCUCUGUUUGGGGACUGUCGAUUCCGAAUCUGGAUUAAAGAGAAGGAACCAUAAAAAAGGGAAAGCAGCCAUCUCCUCUCUACAGUUAGCAGCAGCAGACUGAGCAGGUACACAAGUCAACUGGGCUUUUUUCCUUUAAAGUGAGGUAUAUGAAUAUAUAGUUGUUUUAAAUUUGCGUUUAUACAUAUGCAUUCUAUACAAAUAUUAUGCAAAUUGGUGCUCCCUUUUGCCCUUUUUUAAAGCAAUGCAUACCUGGUCACCCGAGAAGGAAUGGCGAAUAAGCCUUGCUAGAAUAACUUAAUUGCCAGGGAAGUACCUUGAAUUGACACAGCCACUGACAUAGGCUGUGUACGCAUUACUGUCUACUCCAGCUCCAGUAUGCCCCCACUGUCGGUUUUUUAAGCCAAUUACAGUGGUGCCCCGCAAGACGAAUGCCUCGCAAGACGGAAAACUCGCUAGACGAAAGAGUUUUCCGUUUUGGAGGUGCUUCGCAAAACGAAGCUCCUAUGGGCUUGCUUCGCAAGACGAAAAUGUCUUGCGAGUUCCUGCGGUUUUUUCCCCUCCCCCCCCCUUUUCCUAAGCCGUUAAGCCGCUUAUCUGCUUAUCCGAUAAGCUGAUAAGCCGCUAAAAGCCGCUAAAAGCCGCUAAUAGCGCUAAUCCGCUAAUCCGUCAAUGGGCUUGCUUCGCAAGACGAAAAAACCGCUAGACGAAGAGACUCACAGAACGGAUUCUUUUCGUCUUGCGAGGCACCACUGUACACACGACAUUAGCUACAAUCCAUGUAUGUAUCCUGUUGUUUCUUGAGAAAUACUGGUGUUUGGUGCAAUUUCCCUCAAAUGGGCUUCCAUCCAAUUUGAAAAUGGAAGCUGUGGCUCUUCUGAGGUGUGUACAUUUGAGACAGCUGUUGUGCAGGCACAGAUGCCAGCAGAUGUGCAGAAGAUACCUUUUACUGAACAGGAGUUAUGGGGAGUUGCAGGCGUGGUGAGAAAAAUCAGGUACACUGGUACCUCUGGUUGCGAACAGGAUCCGUUCCGGAGGCAACCUGCGCAUGCGUGUGACAGCAUUUUGUGUGUCUGUGCAUGUGCGAGCAGCGAAACCCGGAAGCAACCCUUUCCGGUACUUCCGGGUCACUGUGGGACUCAACCUGAAAAAAAACGUAACAUGAAGCAAACGUAACAUGAGGUAUGACUGUAAUGUGCAUCAUGUGAUGACUUCCCAAACCUUCUCUGGUGUGUAUAGCAACAUAAAAAUGUGGCUUGAAACACAGCAGGGGAAACGACUUCACUGGGUUUUAAGCUACUAAUGUGUAAAUGGCCAUGUGUACAUUGGCCUCUUGACCUUGCUUGUUGGUCUUAUUUUGGUGAGGUUAGUCUUCUAUUAUCACAGGGAGGGGUUAAUUAUGCUUCAUUUCUUUUUCUUUUUUUAAGCAAACUGUUUUCUGUCACUGCUAGGACCAAUUACCUAAUGACAUAAUACACUCAGCAAUUUUUCUUAAACUUACAUACAUGUAGAACUGUAUCACUAAAUCUGGCCCGGUCUUCGUUAAACGUUUUGGAGAGAAAAAGGAGACUGCACGUAUUGUGUUCCAGACAUUACAGCAAUUGUUUAGUAUAUAUUUGGUGUAGACAAAGUUUUUUAGCCUUGAUUAUAUUCCUAACAGUAGUGCCAACAUUCAACCACUUUUGAACUAUGAGACUGUGGGCAUGCAUGGAUUUAAACAAGUAGUUUCCUAUCUUCAGGUUCUCCCACUUCAUAUUUAGAUAUAAUUGCCCAUGGUUUUAAGUGCCAGACAUACACUGAAAUGUGAACUUAAAACAUAUGCUUAUUUUGCACAUUACACAGUAGGGUGGUGGUUUUUUUGGUUUUUUUUUUAGAACAUUUGAAUCAAGGAACUCCUUUGAAACUCUCUCCACAGGAUUUCUAAUUUAGAUUCUAUUGUAUUCGUAUAACAGCUUUUUAGUGAGUAUAAUGGGAACCUGAGUAUCCAAAUUUAGUUGUCCAAAUCUUUUCCAAAUUCAUUGAACCCCCCUUUAUAGUUUUCAGUGCCUGUAAAAUUCCAUGUAAAUAGCACUUUAUCCAGAUGUCCAACUCUGGGCUCUGCACUCCGAAUUACAAAUGAUGCAAAUCAAGCAUUUUUGUAUAAUUAGCUAUUAAUAAUUAUACAAAAAUGGGGCAGGUAACUAGGCAGGACACUGAAGUCACACUUUUGCCCCAGGUUUAUCAAUGAGCAAAUGCUUUUAAGGCACCAACAAAUAACCAUGCAGAAGCUUUAUAUACAUCUGCCUGCUAACAUGAGGUAUUGUUUUUAAUGCAUAUCAUUAUAUCAAAUUUAGCUGCUGGGUAAUGCUGUCUUAUGGGAAUCAGAUGUGGGGAGAAUGCUUUUGUCAGCACCCCAAUAAAACUGUUAUAACUGAUACAGAUAAACAACCGAGUUACUGAACCUUUCUCCAGAACGCUCACAAGUAUAUAACCGUACAAAUCUUCAAAAUCACAACCCAGGCAGCUGAAAUAUGAAAAUGCAACUCUACCAAGAUCCCUCAGGGUACUUUUUGUCUUAUCACACUCCACUAAAGGUCAGCUUGGUAUUAUUCAUCUGCCACAAGUGGCUAGACUUCACAACUCACACUCUUUGAGAUGUCCUGGAAAAUCAAACUAUGAAAACAUUCCAAGAGCUUCCCUGGGAUUAUACAGUCUAUUGAAAUUUGGUUUUGGACACAGCAUAGGGCUUAGCAUAUGAAUAAUCAAGUGUGCCCCAUAAAUGUCAAAGCUCCAGUCUGGGGGCCGUCUACCUAAGCUACAGUGUUUCACAUAAAAAUCUGUCCCAUGCAGCUUCUUAUUCCAUAAAUAUGUAAAUAAUUGUUAGCCAGGUCCUAAAAGUCGUCUCCCAGGGUUAUUAGUGCUCCAAGAGUCACAGCCAACCUCAGUCUAGGGCUUUAGAUGCUCUUUGCUCACAGAGGCUGGAGACUAGCUUUAGGCAGCCUGGUGCUCAACAGAUGGUUUGGAUUAUGACUCCCAUCAGCCUCAGUCAGCACUGCAAGGCUGGAAAAAGGCUUGACUAGAUCUACCCAUUCCAGAGGAGGGCUAGUAGUGGUGCAUGCAUGCCUCUCUAUUGAAACCAGUGGUGCAGAUAGAUAAUUCUGAGCUUAGUGGCCCCCCUCUGGAUGGUAAUGUGCAGUGACACCCGGUAACCACUGGAGCUUGUGGGACAGUGGACAAAGCAGUUGGGACAGGUAGAGCCACUAGAUAAAGAAAUAAGUUCACUGUCUUUCCUAGUACGGGCUCCUGUGUAGCUCUGUAUAGCAUUUUUUAUAUAAUGAAUGCAGAUUUAUGCACAAAAUAAUAUCUCGCCUACUCCCAAUCACUGCUCUCUGGCUCAUUAUAUAAAAAAGUAAAACCAAUAUAUAGUUUACUAUUUGCAUUCAUUCCAAUCAUAUUUCUAAUCACAAACUCAAGGAUUCGGUGUCGUUAGUGAAUUUCAGCCUCAUGUUCUGAUUCAAAACUAAUUUUGAUUAUGGCAUCCCCCAUUCAUCUUGUUCUUAAAAGGCCUUGCAAGACCUACUUGAAAUACCUGAGCUAACAACCAUCUCAUGUUUAGAGAACAAAACCUUACACUGAAAACAAGCAGUUCAGGUUUUGUAAGGCUUAUUGAAACUAGGUUACAGAAAAGCUGUCUGGAUAAGUUUACUUUGAUCUAUCAAGCUCAGAUUUUUCAACUACCAGUAAAAUUGUUUUAGCAACCUAGCCUGAAGAGAAACUGACCUUCAGAUCCAGAAAUUGACAAAAGACAAAGGCAACAAUGGAAGAUCAGAUCUGAAAGUGGGAAAGUGAUCAGUUUUACAUUUAGGAGCUUCCUUUCUAAUUUGCUUGUUUUGUUAGUUUUAUUUGAAAAUAUAUACACCACUUUCCUACAAAAUAUAAUACUCCAAGUAGUUUUAUAGCAAAAAAUGGAUUCACUUAGUAGGUCAGUAGAGGUUGUAAGGUGCUUUGGGUUGUCCUGAGCAAGAUAAAGUAACUAAUAAAUGUAAUUAUUAAUACUUCGUUUCUGCUUUCACACUGAAUAUUGAGGGAACCAGCAUGGAAAACAAACAGUUCUCCCCUCCCCUAUGCCAGUGCACCACUCCAAAUCCCCACGCCUCUCUGACUGCUAUUAGAAAAAUAAAAACAAAACUUGGCAGCUCCAAUCAUGGAACUGCCAAGCUAGAAAUCUAGGUUGGCUCUCAUGAUCAGAAUUGCUGGCAUCAAUGCUUAAGGCCCAAAACAGUUCAGGGCCACAUUGGUUGCACCUGCAUGACUCUGCCCACCAUCUUAGGUUCUGUUUGUGUGCACACAGGGUGACAUCAGUUAGGCUGGCAACUCCCUGAGAUACAGCCUUCUCUGUGGUGAUCCUACACCUGUGGAAUUCUCUUGUAGUUGACAUUCACUUGGCUCCUUCAGUUCUGGCAUUCUAGAAGGCCAUAAAAAUGUAUCUUACUAUUUACAAUAAGAGAAUUUUGGCAAUCUAGCUCAGUAGCUCCCAAGGGUCUAUUUGUCCGCAUCCACCCAGUUCUUCAUACUCUGCCUGUGCUUCUGUUGUUUUCAUUUCUGUCUAUAGAUUGCUUUGUGAGGGAUUGGUCUUGAAAAGUGACUAAUAAGUAACUGGAAUAAGUAAAUAAAUAAAUCCACAAGCCCUACAUAAAGGAGAGUGAAACCUGCCUGAGUGUGGCAGGUUUGGGGCAAAUGAUAACAUUUGUUCUCUUCGGUGAUCACUGCCAGUAAUUGGAAGCUGAACACAACGAGGGGUAUGUGAGAUAACGAUCAUGUUGAUACAUAGUACUUUUGGGUGCCGUGUCAGUAUUAAUAAUAACAUGUAUAAUUGCAUGCCCCAGAUAAUAAUGGGCAAAUUAAUUUUAGUGCCGUGUGCUAUUUAAGUUAAAGUAAUAUGUUUGAAAGCAUUGCCUCUAAAUUUCAAGUUCAUAAUAUUAUUGUUCUAGCUAAAGGCCAUGACAAACUUGUAUUAGGCAACAGUAUUAAUAAAUUAAGGGCAUAGGAAAAGCCCUCCAGGUCAGGACAAUGGCCCCAAAGGCCCACCCAUUCUCCCACCAAAAAACAGUGGUACCUCGGGUUAAGUACUUAAUUUGUUCUGGAGGUCCAUUCUUAAGCUGAAUCUGUUCUUAACCUGAAGCACCACUUUAGCUAAUGGGGCCUCCCGCUGCCACUGCGCCGCCAGAACACGAUUUCUGUUCUCAUCCUGAAGCAAAGUUCCUAACCCAAGGUACUAUUUCUGGGUUAGCUGAGUCUGUAACCUGAAGUGUCUGUAACCCUAGGUAAUACUGUACUUUCCCCAGUGCCACACAAGAUAUUGCCCUGAAAAAAGUGCUUUAUCCGAGUGAGAGUGAGGAGUGGGUCAUGUGACUUCCCCGGGUGCGCGUCCCGGAAGAUGCGCAUCCCAGUUUUGAGUCUGAAAUAGUUGGAUGGUAUAUAUACUGCCUUGGUAUUUUCUAGAAAGGCAGUGCAAUACUAUUUAAACUAGCAAACAAAUAACUGAUCUACUUUGAAGACCAAAUCUAGUCCUCUUGGAAAGCUGCACUAACAGCACACUUUCUGUUUUAUUGCACAUUUCCCAGAGCACAGUCUUUUCUUUGUCCCAUCUCAGUGGCCUGACAGUAGCAUAUCCCAAGCACUUCAAGCCCUGCUCUGCUGUGCUUCAGACACUCUGUGAUAUGCAUUUCUACUUGGCAUCUUUUGUAGCUGAAAGCAACACGCUAACUCUCAUGCUUUUUGGAAGGCUUAAUGUGCAUGCUGUUAUAAAAGGAAAGUCAGAAAUGGGUCCAACCGCUAGUCAUGGGUCCACAGACACUGCAUUUUUGGACAGAUGACAAUACAUUUGUGGUUAGGAGGUACUGUUUCUGCUAAUUUAUGGCUUUAAAAAGGCUAGACGUGUGAAUGUAAGCUCCAGAAACAGCGAAAGUAUCACAUAUACUGUUAUUUGUCUUAAAUUAUCCUCCUGAAAUAGAUGUAGUGAGAGACUUUUGUGGUAUCCUGCUUUGUAUGCAUGAAUCAGAAAAGAGCACAAAUAUCUUGGGGGAUAGACUGUAGUGGGAGACAUGAAUGAAUCAAUGGAUGGUCAUGGUCACCACAGGUGGUCUCUCCUUGUGGUGGUUUGGAUUCACAGGGGGAGGAAUGACUCACUGGCUGGUGGUGGGAGGAAUGUGAGAGUGCAGGAAGACGUUGUGGGCAUGCCCAUACCACAAGUGGCAUAGUGUUUGGGUCUGUUUGCUGUUGGCUUAGGUAACCACAGUAAAUUACUAUGAUGAUUUUUUUAAAAACCUAUAUCUGGCAGCUGCAGAUAUUUAAUUUAGAGAAUACUGUUCAGGGUAAAAUGGAAAUGCAGAAAGCAUAUUUUAUUCUCUUAGACAUUAAACCUCACAAUAAGAAAAUGUCUAUUACAGUGGUACCUCAGGUUACAUACGCUUCAGGUUACAGACUCCGCUAACCCAGAAAUAGUACCUCGGGUUAAGAACUUUGCUUCAGGAUGAGAACAGAAAUCGUGCUCUGGUGGCGCAGCAGCAGCUGGAGGCCCCAUUAGCUAAAGUGGUGCUUCAGGUUAAGAACAGUUUCAGGUUGAAAACGGACCUCCGGAACGAAUUAAGUACUUAACCUGAGGUACCACUGUAUCAAUAUUUUAAUCCUCUAUAGCACUGCCCACUUACGUAGCAUAAAAGACCACAGGACUCUGCAGAGCAUACAUACAUACAUGCAAAUGAGACAUAGACACGCUCACUCAAUAUUUUAAUGCAUGGAUCCUUCAUCCACCAGGUGGUAAUUCCGAUUUCAACAGGGAAUCUGAAUAGAUAAAAAUCAUGGCUAUUUGAAUAUAUGGAUUUUCAGCUCAGUCAGAUCACAGCUAAUCUAUUCUUACUUAAAACAUUUAUGCUGAUUGUGGUGCGGUUUCAGGUACAAUGUAAAUGCACAAAAUGCUUAUUUUGCUCUGACAAUAUGGCAGCAUUUCAAAAGGAAGUCAAAUCCAGCUGGCCCGGAGCAAAUAGUUUCAUUGGAUCUGGCAGUGAUCACUGAUGGAUGGAAGUAUUAGAUGUUGGCCAAGAAAUUGUAAUUCUUUUAAAACUUAAAUAACAAACAAGAUAAUCCCUAAAGGCAACCUAUCAUGGCAGCAGUGAAGGGGGAAUGUGACAGCCACUCCAAGCUGUCACCAUCUUUUCCUUUUCCAGCGUUCAGCUUUUGAGCAGUUUAGCUGUAACCUAAUUGGUUUGCUGAAACUCUUUAUGUGCUCAUGUCGUUCUGAGGCUUCCACUUUCAUGCAAUGUAUCCAAUUGGGAAAACCACAAGACCUUGGUCAUCAUUAGCUUCUGUGGCAACAAAAAUACCAAUAGUACAAAGUUAUUGUUAAUCCCUCCACUGUACAAAACAGCACUAGCUCUGUAACCAUAUUUGUGCAUAUUUCACUCUCCUGUAAUUAAAAUAUCAUGGAAGAAUGUCAGGAUCAAAUCUAUACCGCCAAGACAUCAGAUGCUGUAAGGUUUAGCUGGCAAUGCCUUAUAACCUUAUUUUCUAAUUCUUGUUGGUUGCAAUUAAUAAUCCUGUCACUGUAGUUGAUGAUAUUAAACAAAUAAUAUAUCAGUCCAAGAUAACCACAAGAUAUGUUUUUGCCCACUGAUGUCUAGUGUCCAAAUCUUAUUUGCUCUGAAAGUUAUGAACCAUUGCACAUAAUGGAAGGAAACAAUGAUACUGAUAAUGUACUUUGUGAUUGCUUUUAGAGUGAUAUCCCUUUAAUAUUUGUAUGCUCUGAGGCCAGUUCAGCUGAUACUUCAGACAUCUGAACAGACCCAGUAGGUGCACCUGGUGUGCUGGCCUGCCUCUGCCAUCCACAAAGGCAUGGCCCAGUCACUGGAGCCAAAAUCGUGUAAUUAAUUCCCAGAGCUUUUUCUGUUGAACUGACCAAGUGGUUUUGUCCUACAUGCAUAAGACCAAACAUAAGUGAAACCCUGUUUGGUCAGGCCUAAGGCCCACCUAGUCCAGCAUUCUGUUCUCACAGCAGCAAACCAGAUGCUUAUGGGAGGCCCACAAAGAGGAACUGGGGCAACAACACUAUCCCUAUCUGCAAUUCCCAGCAUCUGGUAUUGAGAAAUAUAGUACCUCCAACAGUGGCGGUAGAAUUAUGUGUGUAGAUCAAUUUGGCCCAUUUAAACAGGCUGUGGAAAGAGGAGGUUAGGCCAGCAUGGCAGCUCCAAAUAUAGGGCUGUACUGGACCUUAGAGUAUUGUUAAAAACAAACAAACCAAUAAACCACGGCUUCUAGCAAGCCAAAUGCUCUGUCAAGGUCUCUAUCACAUAAAGCAAACAUAGUGGUACCUCGGGUUAAGAACUUAAUUCGUUCUGGAGGUCCGUUCUUAACCUGAAACUGUUCUUAACCUGAGGUACCACUUUAGCUAAUGGGGCCUCCCGCUGCCUCCGCGCCACCAGAGCACGAUUUCUGUUCUCAUCCUGAAGCAAAGUUCUUAAUCCGAAGUACUAUUUCUGGGUUAGCGGAGUCUGCAACCUGAAGCGUCUGUAACCCAAGGUACCACUGUAAGCUUCUACAUUGCUUGCUAAUCAAAUAACUGGCAACAUUCUAUUGUUGCAACAUAUAAUAGCAUUUAUUUAGAAACAACUGAUUUCUUCUUUGAAAGAUACAGUUGUUAUCUUUCAUACAAUAAACUCUGCUGCAUAGGAUGUGACCUCAUUCUGAAAAUGUUCAGAACAGCAGAGGAAUAAUCCCAAACAUGCUUAUGUGCUGCUUUCAAAUGUUGAAGGAUAGUUAAAUUCCUUAUUGUCACUGGAAUUAUGCUAUAAACUAAUGCAGUAGAAGGUUGAACAGACAUACAGUUGCAUCUCAUUACCAUACAAGCUUACUAUGGACAAAAAUGUAUAAUAAUUAGCCUAGAUAACAAUGACAACAUGCAAUUAAUCACAGUAUGGACAUAUGCCAGAACUGAGAAGACAGACUUUUACGCUGUCCUUAGCUCUGGAAUCAUCAUGGUCACAUAUUUAGCCUAUGGGAAGUUGGACAGAGGAAAACCCAGUGCAAUAAUGACUCAUUCGUGUCAAGAAGGGUUUUGAACCAUGUCCCAGGGCCAGAAACUUAUUUGAUAUGCACAUAUACAAGCUGUUGAUGAAAGCUAAGGUUUAAAAUGCACAUAACUAUUUAUCUGGACUGAUUUUAAGCCUGGAGGGCUUUAAAUAUGCAUCUUAAAGUAUUUGCAAGGGCAGCAUAACAUCAUAGUUCUAGAAACUCUGAUAUUAUAUUCUAUAGAUCUAUAAUACCAUUACUAUAAAUGGUAUUAUAUAAACUCUGGUUCUAUCCUCUCAAGGGUAUAUCUUCAAUGCAACAAAACUUGGUUUUGAGCUGUUAGAAUCAUAGAAUUGCUGUGCUAUAAUGGGGAUGGGGAACCUGCAGUUCUCCAGAUGUUGGACUACAACUCUCAGCGAUCCUGACCAUUGGCUAUAUGCUAACUGGGGCUGAUGUGAGUUGGAGUGCAACAACAUCUGGAGGAUCACAGGUUCUCCUCCCCUGUGCACCUCCUGUUUAAGUCCCACCUUAAUUGUCAUUACUUCCCUCUGGGGGGGUCCCUAGAAAUGAAGAGACCAGUAGAAUGUAAAGAAGCUAUUUGUACAGAGGUUGUGGGAUCACAUCUAUCUGCAACUGCUAAUUCCACUGCUGUUUGUUUAACACAGCAUAUGUUCUGGAAAAGUCUGUGUGUAUAGUGUAUACAGUUAAAGCCAAUUUAGGCCAGGUAUUUUCUAGUAAAUGUAUCAAAAUAAUUACUUAUUUCAUAAUGCUUUCCCACUCAACAGACAUGCAAAAGAGGAAGUACUGUGCUGGACAAUCAAGAGGCAAGCUUUUCCACCACCACCACACCUGCCCCUGCUUCUAAGAAGGAACUGCUCCUGUUCUGACAUCCUUUGCCCCUUUACCAGUUGUUGUUUUUAAUGUUUAUAUAUAUCUAUUUUAAAAUGUGUGUUUUAUUUUUGUUGUUGCUGUUGCUUGACUUACCUUUUGCAUUAUCCUUUGUGAGUUGCCUUGGGGUCUAUUUUGGCUGAAG
Non-coding RNA from Podarcis lilfordi (Lilford's wall lizard), 33123 nucleotides. The record is from the annotation of a GenBank genome assembly. NCBI's taxonomy places the organism in Eukaryota, Metazoa, Chordata, Lepidosauria, Squamata, Lacertidae.